CCAAUAGCGUAUAUUAAAGUUGUUGUGGUUAAAAAGCUCGUAGUUGAACCUUGGGCCUGGCUGGCCGGUCCGCCUCACCGCGUGUACUGGUCCGGCCGGGCCUUUCCCUCUGUGGAACCCCAUGCCCUUCACUGGGUGUGGCGGGGAAACAGGGCCUUUACUUUGAAAAAAUUAGUGUGCUCCAGGCAGGCCUAUGCUCGAAUCAAUUAGCAUGGACAAAAAAGAUAGGACGUGCGGUUCUAUUUUGUUGGUUUCUAGGACCGCCGUAAUGAUUAAUAGGGACAGUCGGGGGCAUCAGUAUUCAAUUGUCAGAGGUGAAAUUCUUGGAUUUAUUGAAGACUAACUACUGCGAAAGCAUUUGCCAAGGAUGUUUUCAUUAAUCAGGAACGAAAGUUAGGGGAUCGAAGACGAUCAGAUACCGUCGUAGUCUUAACCAUAAACUAUGCCGACUAGGGAUCGGACGAUGUUAUUCUCUGACUCGUUCGGCACCUUACG
Molecule: ribosomal RNA, 495 nt
Filed under: uncultured Glomeromycotina
Lineage: Eukaryota; Fungi; Glomeromycota
Description: partial small subunit ribosomal RNA
Rfam family: Eukaryotic small subunit ribosomal RNA
Source: RNAcentral